GUUACAAUUGAAUAAAUCUUCUCACUUCAAAAUUUUCAUCUUUAGUUCACACUUUGCUUCUAUCCUUUCUCAUCGUUCGGUUGGGUUUGAGUGCUGCCAUAUGCAAACACAACAAAAGGGUUAGCGACGGUGGUAGCCAGCCAAAGAGCAUAUGAAAAAUAGCAGUGACGAGGCAAAGGUUUCCACUUUGGUCCAUACUUUCUCUUGGUCCAAUUGUUGUUGCUACAAAGGGACAAAAGGCAAAACAGUCCACUCACAAGCGAAAGCGAAGACGAUGCAAAAAUUGCAAGUCAUUUGGACAUGAUAGACGAAAAUGUACUAAAGUGUGCACAGAUGCAUAUGAAACUCACAAUUAUGAUCAUGUUGGGGCACCCAAUAAUGUUGAGAAUGUAAAUUUGAAUCUGAUAGGAUCAUCCGAUGGCCUAUUGCAAUCAGAUUCAC
Molecule: long non-coding RNA, 441 nt
Organism: Coffea eugenioides
Lineage: Eukaryota; Viridiplantae; Streptophyta; Magnoliopsida; Gentianales; Rubiaceae
Exons: 3
Source: RefSeq, a predicted model, not a curated record